GCAGUACAUACAGUAAACCUUUAAGAGCUCUGUCAUGUAGCGAUUAUAUUGUCAGUAUUUAUGGUCCCUCUAUGCAUGACUUGAUGACGCUUUGUUCUGCUGAAAAGGGGAUGUAAGUCAAUAUGCAUUUAUGAUUCUUACAAGUUUCUUGUGUAAACUUGCUUCUGAUAUUUAGACAACUUGAAUGAUUUCCAAGGAAUUUGGAACUUGUUUUACAGAACUCUGAACCAGAGCAAUUCCGUCUUGUACAUAUCGUAUCAAUCUAAUGACCAUGGUUUCUCCCCAUGAUUUGUGAUGUUAAUGUAAAUAGCCACUGAUGUGAGAUAGCAAACUAUCACUAACAAUGUAUUUGUACACAGUUAUUAUUAUAAUUAUUAUUAUUAUUAUUAUGCUAUAUUUAUGAUUGCCGUGUCAAAGGAACCACUGUUUUCUUCUUUGUGUUCCAAAUGGCGCCCUAUUUCCUACAUAGUUCAUUGCUGAGUGUAGUGUACUAUGCAGGUAAUGCUUUGGAAUGCACACUAAAGUCUGUUCAGAAGUUGCCUAUUGCUGUUGUCUCUCAGGAAAGCUGAUGUCAUUAGCUUCUAUUUACUUAACCGUCUCCUUAAGUGUCUGCCUCUUAACUCUCAUACUAAAGUAGAAGGAAGUUGUCCAAUGCUUACCGUGAUGAUUUGUGGGUGCAGACAAUUGCAAUUGCAUUGGUGGGCUUCAAGAACAAUGUAUUUUAGAUAAAAGAGGAUUGGACUCUAAAAAUGGACCUAUCCACUGAUGUUGGCCGAGACUACUUGUAAUGGUUAUGAAUAUCAAACCUUUGACUGUUUUACCAUUGACCUACCUACAUUAACACUGGCCGUGUUUGCAACAUGCAGAUAACUUUUUCCAAAUUCCCAGGCUUUCCACAAAUCUUGGCUUAAGGAUUGAACGUUGUCAUUGGCUUUCUCUCGUGAAAGCGGAUGGUUAAGGACUGCCAAUAUCAACAGCACCCAUUCCCCCAACCCCCUUCUCUAACUGGGAGUGAUGAAUGACCUAUUGGUAUCACUGGGAUUGUUGGACAUGAUGCAUGUAGAUAUGAUCAGAACAUGAUAUGAACAUGAACAAUAAAUAUUUAUACUAUCUUAACUGCGA
Esox lucius (northern pike) is the source of this 1122-nucleotide long non-coding RNA. NCBI's taxonomy places the organism in Eukaryota, Metazoa, Chordata, Actinopteri, Esociformes, Esocidae. The record is from Ensembl.